AGCAGGCUCCGGGCUCUGAGCUGUCAGCACAGAGCCCGACGCGGGGCUGGAACUCACAGACCGCGAGAUCAUGACCUGAGCUGAAGUCGGCUGCUUAACUGACUGAGCCACCCAGGCGCCCCAGGGUACCUUGUAUUUCAUGCUCCAUCUGAGCCAGUGCUUUCCUUGAUGCUUUCCCUGACCUCCAGCACAUCUGGUCAGCUUAGUCACCAGUCUGACCGUGUGCCAGGCCCUGUGCUAUGUCCCAGAGAUCUAGAAAUGAACAGGGACUCCCUCUGCCCUGGGGAAGCCGACUGCCCGGGUGGGAGGAGAGGCUCAGAGACUAACACGGGAUGCUUGUGCCAAGGCAGAAUGUGCCGGCAGCCUUGGAGUUCACAGAGGGAACCUCUCAUCUUCUGUAGGAGAGCGAUUAGCAGCUCUGGAACUCAGACGGCCAGGGUUUUGCUCCAGACCAGUCAAAUAUAGAGGGUCUGAUAUUUGGGGGGGAAAUGAUUUUAGAUUUUGUAAGUAAAAAAUGUUGCUACAUUUACCUGAUGAUAGGACAUUCCUUCUACGCGGCAGGAUGCCUGAUAAGAAGAGCAAUGAUUUAAAAUAGGAAACUUCCAGAUACAUAUUUAAUGAUACCUUCCUCCCCACUUCCUCCCUCGCCGUAUCGGGAACAACCAAGUCGAUCUUUGUCCUUGCCGUGGGCGUUAGGAUUGCCAGUGACAGUUCAGCCCCUCCAGAUACACCUCCUCUGAGUCCUCCGCUCUUACAUUGUGUCAACAUCCCAUCUCCCAACCAGAUUGUGUGGCUGUGCUUGGAAGAAGAGGUAACCACAGUCGGUGCUUACACUGGAGGCUGAUCAAAUCUCAGAAUCUUCCCUGGGCAGGCUCAGUAGUUCUAGAAUAUCCUGGCCCCUUGGACGGGAAGGACCAGCCACCACUGCCACUGUUGCUGCUGUCGCUGCUGUGUAGGGUCUCCUUCCCCUCUCUUUCCCUCCUCUUUAUGGGGCCAGACUCAGAAAAGCUUCUGGAGGUGGUGUCUCCAAACUGCUCCUCCACAGUACUACCCACUUACCCAGCCUGCUUCCUCUGCUCAGCCCCUUUGGACCACGGCCAGCUGAUCACUGCUCACGCAGUUACGAAGGCCCCAGAGGUCUUUUGAGACACCCACCCCUCCCUGCCCUUCUGACUGAUGGGACUCCUCACCAGGUGGGGAACCCAUUGGCUCUUGGCUGAGAAAUGAGGUUAAACCUGGACACCGCUGGGAUGUGGAAGCUGGGGGAUGAUUAAUGAUACUACUCAGGAAGGGUUGAGACAUUUGCAUUUCUGUCCAGCAGAGGAUCUAUUUCAAUCAGGAAGUUACUCUUGCUGCCCAAAGAAGCAGAAUAGUCCCCUCCCACGCUCACUUACUGCUGAAGGGAGGAUGGUCACGCAGCAUCGUGUGGGCAGUGCAAUCACAGAGCGCCCAGGCGGGAAAGCUGAGCUGCACCGACGCGCCCAGAAGGGGGCCACUGCCCCUCAUCCAUGAGAGCUGGCAUCCCGAGAACAAUAGCCCUGAGUGCACCGACCUCUGAGGAACGCUGUUGCGAAAGAAUCCGUGUUCAGUCCAAGUUCAAGAACAUUUCCAGACGUUACGGAUACCUGGGCCAGGUGGCCCUUACCUGACGUAGAAAGCCAAGAUUCUGGAGCCCAGAAAGGCAGGCCAGGAGUGGGAAGAGCAGGCCCAGGAUGGAUUUUCUGUCAUCACUGCUCAGGGUCUAGGAGCUGGAGCAGUGUGGCAUCCCUACCCGGCCCGGCAGCUGAAGACGGGGGAAACUGAGGCCCAGAGAGGUUCUAGAACUGCCAGAAAGCGCUGGAUCCAGGAUACAGAACAUUAGCUAAAGCUGAGCUAUGGCAGACCUCGGUUUCCUUGUACCUAAAAGCGGACCAGCCUUAUGUUACAGCCACAGCCCAGGCUGCAGCAGAAGCUUAAAUGGAAUCGUGAGUUCUGCCACGUACUCUGCUUCAGAAGUUCCGGGGAGCAGAGGACACUCGAGGUCGCAUCCUCAGUGUGGCCUGGAUCCUUCUCCCCUUUUGUUCUCCUGGAGAACGUCUUGCAGUAUAGCUGAUCCUGGAUGUCGGAGAGGUCACAUGUGACUCUGAGCAGUAUGUCUGGUGUGGAGGCGUAAGAGAGGCCUGAUGCCCACGGAGGAUUUCACGUGUUAACAGGAUGGCCCUGUACACAGAAGCAACCAAGGGCCCCAGCACGGGGACACCAGCACCGGAUAGCACCUCAUAAGGACAAGACACUGAAUUUCUCCUUUGCCCUCUCAUGGAAGUCAUCUGCGAUCCCUCCGGGGGUGAGUAUUGUGUGUGCCCUGAGAUGGUCCCUGAGGGCGGCCAUAUGGACCCGCGUGCUGCCAGGCUGGCUGUGUGCCCCAGAUCCUGAGCUGUCGGUGGAGACAGGGGUCGAGCCCAGAGACCCCAGCCAGAAUUACUUUGGCACGUGUUUUCAUUUCUACCUGAACUUUGAGAAGCACGGACAUUCCCCCAAAUCCAUUUUCCUCGUUUGCUGGGGCAGACGCCGCUCGUUUAUGGCCCUGGGAAGGAAGACAUCACACCUCAAGUGCCAUUCCGAUCCCGGAAUGUCAUCAGGACCACCCCCGCGCUGAGACUUUUCACCUGCAACACUGAGGCUCAGAGAGGGCACGUGAGGGCCCCAUAGCCACACAGCAAACAGAAGGAAAGUAACUGCUGAAGACGCCCCCAGGGACCCAGCCGGAGGCCCCAGUCCAGCAGGGGCAGAGAGCCCGGGUGGAAAGGGCCAGAGAGCAGGGGAGGGGCAGAGAGAGAAACACACACAGAAUCCGAAGCAGGCUCCAGGCUCUGAGCUGUCAGCACAGAGCCCGAUGCGGGGCUCGAACUCACGAACCGUGAAAUCAUGGCCUGAGCCGAAGUCGGCCACCCAACCAACUGAGCCUCCCAGGCGCCCCAGAAGCUGACCUUUAAAAAGCCACAUAAGAGGGAAGGUUGAGCAUCGGAUUAGGAGACAGGAACCUUCCAAAGUUUCCUGGACGAGGACUUUUUCAACUAGACUGCCAUGAACUGUGUAUUCUUAAGCAGGCCAUCUACUUCCUCUGUGCCUCAGUUUCCACAUCCGUUGAGCUGAAGACGGUGUCCUUCACGUGAGGUGAGGAGAAGAAAGACUGGCUGCCCGUGCAAUUUGCAAACCUCAAAGUGUUUGCUUAUUUGAACUUCGAGGUGGAUGGGAACAGCUAAGGAACCCCCCUGGGGCACCUGUGAGGGGAGGGCUGAGGGGCAACCCGGAAAUGACUUUGCUGAGAGGAGAGGGGGAGAGAACAGGGAGAGGAAACCCAAAAUGGACCACAGUUUGGUGGGGGGGGGGGAGGAGACAGGCUGCAAGCGUUCCAGCAGGAGACCACCUGUGGCCCGUGGACAUGACCUUUGGUGUCUCACGGCAGAUUCAGUCCGGCUGCUUCUGCACCAGCAGCAAGAGUCCAGACUGGGUCCCCGUGGUUGUCACAAAUAUUCCGGCGUUCUCUCCAUCUAGGUACCUGGCGGGACUAGAUCCUCUGUGCCGUUGAGGGUCUGCAUGACCGUGUGACUCUAUUUGGCCACUGGCACGUGAGUGGAAGUGACGGUAUCACUUUAGGGGCAAACUUGAAGAGCUCAUGCGUGACUGGCGGUCAAGGCACAGCUGGAUGGCGCCCCGCCCACAGCUCUUGGAGCAUCCUGAUGACUUAGUCCCCCCAGUGUCUGCGUCUCUGCGCCCAAGGGCUUUGUCUAGACCACAAAACACGGCUCUGCCCGCGCACACCCCAGGCUGGGAGUGCCAGGGAAAUACACACCUCACCCCCGUCAGCCCGGGCCAGCGACUGGGGGGUUGAGAUAUAAAUACCCCAGCUCUCUCACCCCUGAGGCGGGCUCACCCUGGCACAUGGGUUCCUCACCGUUUCCCCGGGAUUUCCCAGGGGACGAACCGCAUUCACCCACAGCGGCAGCUGGGUUAAUCCACGUCCCUUAUUAGCUGCUUUCCUUUCCCUGAGGCAUUCUCCCGCUCCAUACCAGUGUCCCCUGUACCCCCCGCCCCCAAAUUAGCUGUUGGCACUCGCACCACUGACUCUGGGUCUGUUUCUGGACAGCCACGUUCCUCUUUCCUGCCGUCACUAAAACCCACUGGCCAAAGAGUGGGCAGUUCCCCAGGCAGUGACUGUUCUGUCAUCCCCAGGCCUUGGGGUAGAGCGACUAGAAGAAGCUGGGCCUCCAGUGGGCUCACCGCGGACAGUGAGCAGGAGGAAGAAGCCCCCUGAAGCUUGGGAGGCCUUUGGUGCCGCGGCAUCAGCUCACCUACUCUGACUGAUACGGCCCCUGCCUCCCCCCAUACGCUGCAAAGGCACAUCGAGUUCAAGGCAUCUUACAAGGGACAGAGAAGGACGGAAAGACAAAGAAAGAAGGCAUGCAAGCCCAUAUGUGCACAAUGGAGAGAGAGUGUGGGAAUGUGUGAGUGUGAGUGUGUGUGUGUGUGUGUGUGUGUGUGUGUGUGUGUGCCUAUGUUAGGGCAGGAUGGAAGGAAAGGGGAGGGAUCAGUUUGAAGGGGUGACUAAAAAAAGAUGCCCAAGGGGCACCUGGCUGGCUCAGCCGGUUAAGCAUCCGACUCUUGGUUUUGGCUUCCGUCACCAUCUCACGGUCUGUGAGAUCAAGCCCUGCAUCGGGCCCCCCACGGACAGCGAGGAGCCCGCUUGGGAUUCUCUCCCCCGCUCUCUCUGCCCCUCCCCACUCUCAAAAGAAAUAAACUUCAAAAAGAAAGCAAGACAAAGAUGUCCAAGAACUCUGGCACCGGAGAGACGGAGGUAGAAAAGGAUAAAAGAUCAAAAGGCCGACAGAUGCAGUGACAAGGGUCCAGGGUCACACACGGAAGCUGAAUGCUGAGCCAAGCCUCAAAGGUGGGCUUCCUGAUUCCAACCCAGCGCUCCUUCCCCUGAGCUCGUCGCCCCAUCCAGAAGGCCUGGCUGGCCUGCCUUCUCUCCGCUGCCCUGGGUGUUGCGGGGUGGGGGGGAAGCUCACGGCUGGUGGCCUGUGGCUCCAAGCCCCUCACGUGUGGAUGACAGCGGCACACAGGCUGGCCUGUGACCAUGUGUGGGCCUAAGCAGCAGGCUCCUCUGUUUGCAAGCACACAAGUGGACUCUUGCCAGCUCAAGCCAUAAAUGGGGGUGAACUGGGGAGUCCUGGGGCUCCCAGCUAACAGCAUGGGCCUUGGGAGAACAGCGUCGAGAGCGGCUUCGGACUGGCCCCGUGCCCUGGACCCUCCUGGCAGCGAUGGGCCUGUCUGCCCCUCACCUGCCAUUCUCACAGCAGGUCCUGCUCUUCAUUCAUUCGACCCUCCCUGAAGCUCUCAUGGAUGUACUACACGCACCUGGUGCCGUGGAGACGCUCCUCACCCCUCACACACGACCACGGUAACGCCAGGCCGAGGGGCCUGCAGCCUUGGGACGGCCUGCCUGUGGCGGGGCCAGCUCCGUGUCUUGAUCUCACCACCCAGCCUGGGGACGCUUAGGAUUGACCUGACCGAGCCAGCCAGCAUAGUCACAUAUGGACAGAAAGUGCUAGAAGGUGUUUUAAUCUGCUCCCCAAGUUCCCAUGCGGAACAGGGUCUGUGAAGGAUUCCAGAGCUGGAUUUCCCUGACUCAUCAUCCUUGAGAUUCUGUCAGUGGAGUUUUUUCUAGAGAGGGAGGCCUGCCCUUUGGCUUAGUUGCAGAACUGCCCCCCAGCACUCCCUCAGCUCAACCUCCCCCUCCUCUCCCCCUCCACUCCCUCGGGACUCCCUCCGGGUGUCUCUAGGUCACAGUAUCCUCCUGCUCUUUGGGGGGAGCCUGACCAGAGGCCCUUUUGUUGUUUCUACUCCUGUUCUCACAAAAGUCCCUGUGGAGGGGGAAAAAUGUCACCUAGAUAAAGACACAGAGCAUAAAGAAGAAAAAACCCAAAGAGUGACAUUUGGGAAAGUUUAGACAAGAAUAGCCUGGACAGGGCUGAGCUUGGGAAGAGGGAGAAGGUCAGAGCCUGGGGGAUUAGGGACGUCAGACAGCUGACAUGGUGACAGAUGUCUGGCCCUGGGUUUCUCUUUCGUAAUGACCAGAGUUUGCUCACUGAGCUCUGCCAGAGCACUCGCUAUGUGCUAAGCACCUUCCGCUGAUUGUCUCAAUUCACAAGACACCCCUGGGAGAUCCUUACCGUUAUUAACUCAGAUGGAAGAUGGGGAAACUGAGGUUCAGGGAGGUAAAGUAACUUUCCCAGGGUCUCAUGUCCAUCUGGCUACGGCACAACGGGCUACCAGGGCCCCCCGUGGCUUUGAAGCUCAGAGCAACUGGGAUGUCUGAGUACCAUAAAGUUUUAUCUGAGCAGAUGAGCCUUGCUGAGAGAAAUCCUUGUGCUCCCAGAGAACAGGGUGGAAAAUGGGAAAGAAACUAGCUUUGGAGUCGGAAAUCCUGGAGCCCCAACACAGGCUUUGCCUCUCGCUAUUGAAUUACCUUGAACAACUUACUGUAGGGAGCCCAAGAAGAAAAGUAGCAUGAUUGGCCAGGCUUGGAUCAUGCCAUCACACCCAGGCCAAUCAUUUUUAGCAAGUUGGCUGUUCGAGUUCAGUCCCACUACUUAGAGCGGGAAUGGGCAGUGCUUUGUCCGGGAAAACGGGGUGUGGGUGGGGGGCAGGAAAUAAAAGAUUCUAGGCAAAAUGAAUAUAUUUUAUUAUUCAAACCCCAGUUCUCUCCGCUCCUAAUCAUUCCCAUCCAAUAUUGAAAUGCCACUCUGAAGUUUACAUUCUGGGGGUGCCUAGGUGGCUCAGUCAGUUGGGCAUCCAACUUCCCGCUCAGGUCAUGAUCUCAUGCUUCUUGAGUUCGAGUCCCACAUCAGGCUCUGUGCUGACAGCUCAGAGCCUCAA
Molecule: long non-coding RNA, 6918 nt
Organism: Felis catus (domestic cat)
Lineage: Eukaryota; Metazoa; Chordata; Mammalia; Carnivora; Felidae
Exons: 14
Source: RefSeq, a predicted model, not a curated record